This 455-nucleotide long non-coding RNA is filed under the name Ananas comosus (pineapple). RNAcentral's name for it is "long non-coding RNA (ACOM_LNC027794)". The record is from RNAcentral. Lineage: Eukaryota; Viridiplantae; Streptophyta; Magnoliopsida; Poales; Bromeliaceae.
UCCGAGAGGGAUAAAAAAAAUGGUCGGAAAGAGAUGGGUGAAGGAUCUGCUAACGAAAGUAGUGGGCAAAGAAGAGAUGCGCAUAAAAGAAACACAAGAAAAUAAAGAGAAAGGGGAAAAAAGAGGAGGAGGAGAAAUAGUAUAAUUUUUGCCCAAAAAAUACAACUUUCGUUUAAAGAGUACAAUUUUCGUUCAAAAGUAUAACUUUCAUAGAGUGUAAGUUUUCUCUAAAAUAGUACAAUAUUUUUCUGAAACAGUGCAACGUUUUUCUGAAGUAGUGCAACUUCAUCAUUUUCUUCUUUUCUCUCUUGUUAUUUAUUUUUAUCGUAGAAAAAAAUUAUUUUUCUUUAUGUUUUAUUCUUUUUUUUUAAUUUUCUGUAUUUUUUUCGGCUCCGUUUUUACCCGCACUCUCUACAAGUACUCAUUUUCCAACGCCGGCGCCCAUACCAGCGAAU